UACGGAGGGGGCAAGCGUUGUUCGGAAUUACUGGGCGUAAAGGGCUCGUAGGCGGCCAACUAAGUCAGACGUGAAAUCCCUCGGCUUAACCGGGGAACUGCGUCUGAUACUGGAUGGCUCGAGUUUGGGAGAGGGAUGCGGAAUUCCAGGUGUAGCGGUGAAAUGCGUAGAUAUCUGGAGGAACACCGGUGGCGAAGGCGGCAUCCUGGACCAACACUGACGCUGAUGAGCGAAAGCCAGGGGAGCAAACGGG
RNAcentral lists this ribosomal RNA (253 nucleotides) under uncultured bacterium. RNAcentral's name for it is "partial 16S ribosomal RNA". It matches the Rfam family "Bacterial small subunit ribosomal RNA", at positions 524 to 776 of the family's 1533-position model. The record is from RNAcentral.